This 276-nucleotide unclassified non-coding RNA is filed under the name uncultured fungus. RNAcentral describes it as "sequence contains ITS1, 5.8S rRNA gene". The stretch from base 228 to 276 matches the Rfam family "5.8S ribosomal RNA", at positions 1 to 49 of the family's 154-position model. Lineage: Eukaryota; Fungi. The record is from RNAcentral.
UCUCCGUAGGUGAACCUGCGGAGGGAUCAUUAAUGAGAUAGGGUUUCUUCGGAGCCCGACCUCCAACCCAUUGUCUAUUAUACCUCUGUUGCCUCGGCGGGCCGCCGACCGUCCCCUUUCGAGGAGCGUCGCCGUCGGUCCUUCUAGGGCUUUCGAGCGCCCGCCGGUGGAUUUACAAAACUAUUUUUUAUAAACCAGUCAUCUGAGUGGGAAUUGAAUAGCUUCAAAACUUUCAACAACGGAUCUCUUGGUUCUGGCAUCGAUGAAGAACGCAGC